Molecule: non-coding RNA, 23 nt
Filed under: Cricetulus griseus (Chinese hamster)
Lineage: Eukaryota; Metazoa; Chordata; Mammalia; Rodentia; Cricetidae
Source: RNAcentral
AGUCAUCUGAAGACUGCAGAGGC